This 277-nucleotide unclassified non-coding RNA is filed under the name plant metagenome. RNAcentral's name for it is "partial contains small subunit ribosomal RNA and internal transcribed spacer 1". The stretch from base 1 to 53 matches the Rfam family "Eukaryotic small subunit ribosomal RNA", at positions 1778 to 1831 of the family's 1831-position model. The record is from RNAcentral.
GGAAGUAAAAGUCUAACAAGGUUUCCGUAGGUGAACCUGCGGAAGGAUCAUUAUCGAAAUACUUAUUUAGCGUUCCGUGCUAUCCCAUUGUUUUAUUUACCCUGUUGCUUCCACUGGAUGAGUUUCCAUACCUUGUGUUUGAGAAACUUUGGCUUGUGUAAGAUUCAUUCACGGCCAGCCGGUGAGAAGACCAUUUACAAAACCCUGUUAAGAACCAAUUGUCUGAAUAUUUUACUCCAAUGAAAUAAAACUUUCAACAACGGAUCUCUAGGCUCUU